GACGAACGCUGGCGGCGUGCUUAACACAUGCAAGUGGAGCGACGAACCAGGGCUUGCCCUGGGGCAGAGCCGCGAACGGGUGAGUAACACGUGGGUAACGUGCCCCGAUGGAUCGGGACAACCCGGGGAAACCCGGGCUAAUACCGAAUGUGCUCCCCUCACACCAGUGAGGGAUGGAAAGGAAGCUUCGGCCUCCGCAUCGGGAUCGGCCCGCGGCCCAUUAGCUUGUUGGUGAGGUAACGGCNCACCAAGGCUGCGAUGGGUAGCUGGUCUGAGAGGACGAUCAGCCACACUGGGACUGAGACACGGCCCAGACUCCUACGGGAGGCAGCAGUGGGGAAUCUUGCGCAAUGCGCGAAAGCGUGACGCAGCAACGCCGCGUGGGGGAANAC
RNAcentral lists this ribosomal RNA (392 nucleotides) under uncultured bacterium. Its description in RNAcentral is "bacterial SSU rRNA". It matches the Rfam family "Bacterial small subunit ribosomal RNA", at positions 28 to 412 of the family's 1533-position model. The record is from RNAcentral.